Molecule: ribosomal RNA, 603 nt
Filed under: Triticum aestivum (bread wheat)
Lineage: Eukaryota; Viridiplantae; Streptophyta; Magnoliopsida; Poales; Poaceae
Description: partial small subunit ribosomal RNA
Source: RNAcentral
AUGUUGCGUUCCUGCGGGCUAGGUGACACUGACAUUGCCAAGCUCAGCAUCGCUCAUCCAUGGCUGCUCACCUCCAACAUAGAGCGUGUCCAGGCAAUGGUGGCACAUGCCCAAGAUAUUGGUGUGCCUCGUGGCUGUAGGAUGUUCAGGCACGCGUUGAAGGCUAUUAAAUUCCUCAGCAAGGAGAAAAUCGCCGCCAAAGUGGAGCACCUGAAGAAGACAUUUAUGUGGUCAGAUGCUGAGGUCGGCGUUGUUGUCUCCAAGUUUCCAUCUGUGCUGAUGAGGUCUAACCAGAUGCUGCAGAGCAAGUCAGAGUUCCUCAUCUCCAAGGCAGGGUUGGAACCGACAUACAUUGCUCAUCGGCCGGCGAUGCUUAGUUAUAGCCUGGAGGGCCGGAUCAAACCCCGGCACUACGUUGUAAAGUAUCUCAAGGAAAAUGGAUUUCUAGAUCAUGGCCGGGACUACUAUUAUACACUCUGUAUCAGCGAGAAGGUAUUCAUGGAGAGGUUCAUAUGUCCUCACAAGGAAGCUGCACCGCACCUUGCUGAAGACUAUGCCAGUGCUUGCAGAGGGGAAGUGCCUUCCAGUUUCAGAUUUACAUAA